RNAcentral lists this ribosomal RNA (292 nucleotides) under uncultured microorganism. RNAcentral's name for it is "partial 16S ribosomal RNA". It matches the Rfam family "Bacterial small subunit ribosomal RNA", at positions 505 to 796 of the family's 1533-position model. The record is from RNAcentral.
GUGCCAGCAGCCGCGGUAAUACGUAGGUGGCAAGCGUUGUCCGGAUUUAUUGGGCGUAAAGGGAGCGCAGGUGGUUUCUUAAGUCUGAUGUGAAAGCCCACGGCUUAACCGUGGAGGGUCAUUGGAAACUGGGAAACUUGAGUACAGAAGAGGAAUGUGGAACUCCAUGUGUAGCGGUGGAAUGCGUAGAUAUAUGGAAGAACACCAGUGGCGAAGGCGACAUUCUGGUCUGUUACUGACACUGAGGCUCGAAAGCGUGGGGAGCAAACAGGAUUAGAUACCCUGGUAGUCC